Molecule: small nucleolar RNA, 90 nt
Organism: Malus domestica (apple)
Lineage: Eukaryota; Viridiplantae; Streptophyta; Magnoliopsida; Rosales; Rosaceae
Product: small nucleolar RNA Z43
Source: RefSeq, a predicted model, not a curated record
GGACUGUGAGGAUUUGUAUUUUGGUCUCUCGUCGUAAUGGCCUCAUUGGCCUUGCCGACCACUCUGAUAUUGCAUCAGUUGUCUGAGUCC